RNAcentral lists this ribosomal RNA (339 nucleotides) under Triticum aestivum (bread wheat). RNAcentral describes it as "partial small subunit ribosomal RNA". The record is from RNAcentral. Lineage: Eukaryota; Viridiplantae; Streptophyta; Magnoliopsida; Poales; Poaceae.
AUGGCGGCCAAGUUGAAGGUGCACUUCCACGCCGGCGGCCCGAUCUCGACGGCAAUCCGACGCAGGCGGCGUCCACCAACAGCUCCUCCUCCAAGGACGAGGUGGGCCACGCGCAAGAGACCUACGUGCAGAUUUGCUGUUUCAUGUCAUUUAUUUUCUUAUUUCCUGUUUGGUCUUAAUUCCAGUUUUUUGUUUGUAAUAGUUGUUCAUGGGAUGAAAUUUCCAAAUCACGUUGGUUUGUUUGCAUACCCAAAUUGUAAUGAUUAUAUUUUAUUACUUUCCAUCGUGGAUAGAGAUGUAUUUGUCCUCAUUUUGCUCUUGAACUAUGGAAUUUCUUGA